RNAcentral lists this ribosomal RNA (301 nucleotides) under uncultured bacterium. Its description in RNAcentral is "partial 16S ribosomal RNA". It matches the Rfam family "Bacterial small subunit ribosomal RNA", at positions 509 to 809 of the family's 1533-position model. The record is from RNAcentral.
CAGUAGCCGCGGUAAUACAGAGGGUGCGAGCGUUAAUCGGAUUUACUGGGCGUAAAGCGUGCGUAGGCGGCUAAUUGAGUCGGAUGUGAAAUCCCCGAGCUUAACUUGGGAAUUGCAUUCGAUACUGGUUAGCUAGAGUGUGGGAGAGGAUGGUAGAAUUCCAGGUGUAGCGGUGAAAUGCGUAGAGAUCUGGAGGAAUACCGAUGGCGAAGGCAGCCAUCUGGCCUAACACUGACGCUGAGGUACGAAAGCAUGGGGAGCAAACAGGAUUAGAUACCCCUGUAGUCCCUGUCUCUUAUAA